RNAcentral lists this ribosomal RNA (253 nucleotides) under uncultured bacterium. Its description in RNAcentral is "partial 16S ribosomal RNA". It matches the Rfam family "Bacterial small subunit ribosomal RNA", at positions 524 to 776 of the family's 1533-position model. The record is from RNAcentral.
UACGGAGGGUGCAAGCGUUAUCCGGAUUCACUGGGUUUAAAGGGUCCGUAGGCGGUUUUGUAAGUCAGUGGUGAAAGCCCAUCGCUCAACGGUGGAACGGCCAUUGAUACUGCAAGACUUGAAUUAUUGUGAAGUAACUAGAAUAUGUAGUGUAGCGGUGAAAUGCUUAGAGAUUACAUGGAAUACCAAUUGCGAAGGCAGGUUACUAACAAUAUAUUGACGCUGAUGGACGAAAGCGUGGGUAGCGAACAGG